UUGGAGGGCAAGUCUGGUGCCAGCAGCCGCGGUAAUUCCAGCUCCAAUAGCGUAUAUUAAAGUUGUCGCAGUUAAAAAGCUCGUAGUUGAAUUUCGGGAUCAAUAUUUCGGUCAUGCCGUUGGUAUGCACUGUUAUCAUUGACUUCUCACCUUCUAAAGAACCGUAAUGCCAUUAAUUUGGUGUUACGGGGAAUUAGGACUGUUACCUUGAAAAAAUUAGAGUGUUUAAAGCAGGCUCACGCUUGAAUACAUUAGCAUGGAAUAAUGAAAUAGGACAUCCGAUUCUAUUUUGUUGGUUUCUAGGAUCGAUGUAAUGAUUAAUAGGGAUAGUUGGGGGCACUAGUAUUCAAUUGUCAGAGGUGAAAUUCUUGGAUUUAUUGAAGACUAACUACUGCGAAAGCAUUUGCCAAGGAUGUUUUCAUUAAUCAAGAACGAAAGUUAGGGGAUCGAAGACGAUCAGAUACCGUCGUAGUCUUAACCAUAAACUAUGCCGACUAGGGAUCGGAUGAUGUUAAUUUUUUAAUGACUCAUUCGGCGCCUUACGGGAAACCAAAGUGUUUGGGUUC
Molecule: ribosomal RNA, 566 nt
Filed under: Glomus sp. spore-1-A
Lineage: Eukaryota; Fungi; Glomeromycota; Glomeromycetes; Glomerales; Glomeraceae
Description: SSU rRNA
Rfam family: Eukaryotic small subunit ribosomal RNA
Source: RNAcentral